UUGUCUCUUCUUCUUCUCCCUCACACGUCCGCCCCCCCUCGAAAUUUUCCUUUCUAGCCGUCGUCACCCAUCACCCAGCCGCUCGUCCAGACUAUCGUCGCUUGAGCCUAGUAGUCGGUCUCCACCAUUGCUCGUCGUUGACCUCGACCAAUCGGCCAGUCGUUCGUCCAGCAUCACUCGCCCUCCGCGCGCCGAUCUCGCCCAGUCGAUCAGAGUAGCGUCCGUGCUGCCGUCGCCUAGCUACUUGACCGUCACGUACCCGCCUGUCUCCUAACAGCUCGAGCUGCCACCGCGAGAUCUAGCCACGUCGUACCUGUUCGACGAAGCCGUUCGCAUCAGGGUCAUUGCCACCGCCGCCGCCUUCAGCCGAUCUCCACCACCGUCCAUCGUCGCGCUGCCCAGCCCCUGUUGCGUGGGUCUUCGUCAGACUCUUGGAUUUGGGUAAAGGUAGAGAUGCAUCGACAAUUGAUAAGUGGAAUUCGUGAUCGAGCCACUGGGACCAAUUUUAUGCUUCCGUUCGUGAUAUCUAGAUUUCUUUCCAUAUUUGUUUCAAAUUUCAGUUUUGCUGUUUGAAACUUACUAUUAAGAGUUGUUUUCAGACUUGUUAUUAUCUUUUAUGAUUUAUGGGUACCCUAUUAUUUGUUUUAAUAUUUGAAUUUAAUGAAGGACUUUUGAACU
Molecule: non-coding RNA, 678 nt
Organism: Benincasa hispida (wax gourd)
Lineage: Eukaryota; Viridiplantae; Streptophyta; Magnoliopsida; Cucurbitales; Cucurbitaceae
Source: RefSeq, a predicted model, not a curated record